This is a long non-coding RNA of Cygnus atratus (black swan), 734 nucleotides long. RefSeq lists it as uncharacterized. NCBI's taxonomy places the organism in Eukaryota, Metazoa, Chordata, Aves, Anseriformes, Anatidae. The transcript is spliced from 5 exons. The record is from RefSeq and is a predicted model, not a curated record.
UGUCUCAUCAUAAGAAAAAUACAAGAAUAAAAAAAAAAAAAAAGACUCCUACUGAAGGAAAAUAAUAUUUUUUUCUUUCUCAGUAGGAGAUUUUCUAUGAGGCCAGCCAGGUAGAAAGAAACCUGUUUUCAAAAUACGAUAACAGCUUUGGAAUGGAGUUCCACUGCUAGUUGUGCUUACUGUCUGAAAAAGGUUUUCAGUCCAUUUGAUGUAACAAUAAUAGUCAAAGUGUGAAUCCUGCACCAGAACUUGAAAUGAUGCAACACACUAAUACAUUUUAAAGGAUAACACAAAGACAGCAAAGUCAAUAACUGCGGCACAGAGACCUCUUACAAUCAUCAAAGACCCAGGGAAAGUCUGGCAAUCCAUUGCCGAUCUGCUGCUGGAGCCUGCUGCAAGGACCUCUCCCGGCUGGCGCUUUUGCUCAGGCUCUGAGAUCAGGGACACAACAGCACAGGAAAUAUGGGUGUUAACAGCCUGAUGUAAGGUUUUGGUGCACAGUGAGUGCAAUGUAGAAGCCUUCCUUCUUCCAUCCUCACCGUCCAGAGCUCAGUAUAACAAACUUUCUACAAGAAAAACAGAGUACAUAACGUCUUCCUCUGUGAUUCCCAGCCUUUACUCUUGCGUGCUUCUGAGUGGGGGAAGCCACUGAGAAGGCAGUGAACCACUUCUUUUCAGUGUAUUGCUGUGACAAACCAGAAUGUCCUCUGCUAUGUCAAUUAAAUCAGUAUAAC